Molecule: ribosomal RNA, 253 nt
Filed under: uncultured bacterium
Lineage: Bacteria
Description: partial 16S ribosomal RNA
Rfam family: Bacterial small subunit ribosomal RNA
Source: RNAcentral
UACGUAGGUCGCAAGCGUUGUCCGGAUUUACUGGGCGUAAAGAGCGCGCAGGCGGCUGGUCAAGUCCGAUGUGAAAUCUCCCGGCUCAACUGGGAAACUGCAUCGGAAACUGAUCGGCUUGAAGAUGGGAGAGGGUAGUGGAAUUCCCGGUGUAGUGGUGAAAUGCGUAGAGAUCAGGAAGAACACCGGUGGCGAAGGCGCUCUGCUAGGCCGUAACUGACACUGAGGGACGAAAGCUAGGGGAGCGAAUGGG